GGCUCAGGAUGAACGCUGGCGGCGUGCUUAACACAUGCAAGUCGAGCGAAGCACUCUGGAAGAUUCCUCGGGAUGAUUCCUAGUGACUUAGCGGCGGACGGGUGAGUAACGCGUGGGCAACCUGCCUUGUACAGGGGGAUAACAGUUAGAAAUGACUGCUAAUACCGCAUAAGCACACAGCAUGGCAUCAUGCAGUGUGAAAAACUCCGGUGGUACAAGAUGGGCCCGCGUUGGAUUAGCUUGUUGGUGGGGUAAACGGCCCACCAAGGCGACGAUCCAUAGCCGGACUGAGAGGUCGAACGGCCACAUUGGGACUGAGACACGGCCCAGACUCCUACGGGAGGCAGCAGUGGGGAAUAUUGCACAAUGGAGGAAACUCUGAUGCAGCCGACGCCGCGUGAGUGAUGAAGUAUUUCGGUAUGUAAAGCUCUAUCAGCAGGGAAGAAGACGACGGUACCUGACUAAGAAGCCCCGGCUAACUACGUGCCAGCAGCCGC
RNAcentral lists this ribosomal RNA (497 nucleotides) under uncultured bacterium. RNAcentral describes it as "bacterial SSU rRNA". It matches the Rfam family "Bacterial small subunit ribosomal RNA", at positions 21 to 518 of the family's 1533-position model. The record is from RNAcentral.